Molecule: long non-coding RNA, 1211 nt
Organism: Alligator mississippiensis (American alligator)
Lineage: Eukaryota; Metazoa; Chordata; Crocodylia; Alligatoridae
Exons: 3
Source: RefSeq, a predicted model, not a curated record
UCUCUCACUGCAUCUUAAUCAGUUUCGUUUAUGUAGAGGAGGGGAGGGAGCGGGGGGUGAGUCCUUGUGAGUCAGACAGACUGCAUCCUGUGCCAGGGUUACCCAAGAACACAGAGCUGAGACGUAACAGUGACUCCCUCCUGAGAAGCACAGAGAGGCCUAUCUGUCAACCAGAUCCCAUGGCAUGAGAAGUUUCCUGCCUACCCAGAGCCAGGAUCCGAGACAUCACGGUGAGGAUUCCCAACUUCAUCCAGCCCUCUGACUACUAUCCCAUGGUCCUCGUUCAUGUGAGCACGAAUGAUGUGACCAGGAGUGGUCCAGAUCAUGUCAUGAGUGACUACAGGGCUCUGGGGGCCAGGCUUAGGAAGUAAGGGGCACCAGUGAUCUUCUCACCCAUCCUUCUGGUCAGUGGUUACCACCAGCAUCAGGACACCUGCAUCAGGGAAGUCAACCGGCAGCUCCAGAGUUGGUGCCUUCAUGUGGGUUUUGGCUUCUACAACCACAAUCCAUACUUCCAUGAGAGAGGCAUCCUGGGAUGAGAUGGUCUUCAUCUCUCUUCUAAAGGUCAGCGGGUCGGACUCAAUGACCUACUGAAGUCCCUUCCAACGCUAACAUCUAUGAAUCUAUGAACAUAAAACACCAGAACUGAACAAACACCAGCCAAGCCACAGAACCAAAGACUUACCCCAUGGAUUUCAACGCAGUUAGGAGGGCAGGGUGGACAAUUUGGCCAAACCGCCCCCAAAGCCUCAUUCACCCAAGCCACCUCAUGAACAAAGUAUGUUUACCACUGCCUCAGGCAUGGGCACGCACUCCUCCAUCCAUACCCACUCAAAGAGUGCUGGCGCUAAUGCCACCGACAGUGGUUCUAGUCCAUACUACUACUGUGUAGAUGGCCCCACACCCCGUGUCCCCACCUCUUCCCAGCACUGCACCAGUUGGAAUCCUCUGACCACCACCCGGUGUUUCGGGGCAAAGACCAAGAAUCAGAGUGCUGGACACUGAAAGCAGCAGCACCGUUUUAAUCAAGAGGCAUCAUAACAGUUCCCAAUUUGUAUUUUUGACAGAAGUGAAAAUCAUGAUUUCCAGUUAUUCCAUGAGGGAACCUUGUUUUGUGCUUGAUUAUUUAAUGACCAUCGUUGUUUGCUUCUUUGUUUGUUUCUUUGUUGGUUGUUGCUUAAAAUACUAUAAAUAAAUGUGUUUGUACUGUA